GCGGAAAGGACUUCUAGGUGUUGAGAACUCUUGGGAACUAGCUGACAAGAUGAGAAAAGAGUUUCCCAGAUUCCUCCUUGAGGUCAAGGAGAAUUUUGAAGGGGAGGUAUUGAUAGUUAUGACAGAUUUUAUAAAAGGAAAUGUGGGCAGAAGGAUACAACUAAUCAUUCCCUUAUAGGAAUGUUUCCUUAUUCAGCGAGGGAAGAGAAAGUAAAUCUAGAUCUGAUUGAUUAAAUAGGAGAAUCUUUCCCU
Molecule: long non-coding RNA, 252 nt
Filed under: Trifolium pratense (red clover)
Lineage: Eukaryota; Viridiplantae; Streptophyta; Magnoliopsida; Fabales; Fabaceae
Description: long non-coding RNA (TPRA_LNC005095)
Source: RNAcentral